AUUGAACGCUGGCGGCAGGCCUAACACAUGCAAGUCGAACGGUAACAGGAAGAAGCUUGCUUCUUUGCUGACGAGUGGCGGACGGGUGAGUAAUGUCUGGGAAACUGCCUGAUGGAGGGGGAUAACUACUGGAAACGGUAGCUAAUACCGCAUAACGUCGCAAGACCAAAGAGGGGGACCUUCGGGCCUCUUGCCAUCGGAUGUGCCCAGAUGGGAUUAGCUAGUAGGUGGGGUAACGGCUCACCUAGGCGACGAUCCCUAGCUGGUCUGAGAGGAUGACCAGCCACACUGGAACUGAGACACGGUCCAGACUCCUACGGGAGGAAGCAGUGGGGAAUAUUGCACAAUGGGCGCAAGCCUGAUGCAGCCAUGCCGCGUGUAUGAAGAAGGCCUUCGGGUUGUAAAGUACUUUCAGCGGGGAGGAAGGGAGUAAAGUUAAUACCUUUGCUCAUUGGCGUUACCCGCAGAAGAAGCACCGGCUAACUCCGUG
RNAcentral lists this ribosomal RNA (490 nucleotides) under uncultured bacterium. RNAcentral's name for it is "partial 16S ribosomal RNA". It matches the Rfam family "Bacterial small subunit ribosomal RNA", at positions 30 to 507 of the family's 1533-position model. The record is from RNAcentral.